GACUAUCAGUCUCACGUAACUUUAAUGAGAACGCGCACACGUUAUUAUGGUAGAGACGCGCCUAACUAUUGUGAGCGAGCUCUCUACAUUACAUGGGCCGAUUCUAUCCUGAGAUUCUUGGGGGCGCACAGACUCGCAAAGGAGCGUGACAGUUUCUCAAUUUGGAUGCGAGGAACUAUACGUGUCCCUUCAUUUACAGCGCAUGCGCGAUAUUAAAGUGCAGAACACACGUGAAACAUAAAGAUGGCGGAUCAAUAUGAAGGCUCGCACCCAGCAAAAAUGCAGCAGUGGGUUGGAAUACAAUGGCUUUGCUUACAAAAUCUGAGCCAGACUUUGGAACUCUACUCUGCAAGGUUUAACCCAUUGGCAUUAAGAGACUGAUCAUUAAUUACAUUUGGCAUGGUAAAGGUGUGGCAACCAGUGACCAUUAGUCCUUCUUUGGAAGAUCUGGGAUUUGCAGUGAUUGAUAAUAUCUUCUCCAUUCCUCCACGUUGGGUUCCUCUAUACCACAGACUUUACAGAAUGUCGGGAUGUCAUCUGGAUUAGUUAAAGUGUGUUGUUUGCAUCUUUGGUAAUUUGUAUUCCAAAAGGGAAUGUCCAGCGAAACAUAAGCUUUUUCUCUUUAAGUAGCUGUAGGAUGGGUUUGACCAUUCGUCUUUGCUAUAGUGUAUGCCAUGAGAGGUCUUGUAAAAUAAUAAUGUCUGCUUCCGCAAAUCUAAUUGUCUGUUGUUUCCUCGCUUUGGCCAAUAUCUCCUCUUUUACUUUGAAGCGUGCCAAACAGCAUAUAACAUCCCUGGGGUUAUUUGUGGGAAGGCUUUUAGGUUUGAGGGCUCUGUGCACUCUUUCUACUUCUAUCGUGUGGGUGGAGGGUAGGUUUAAUAUUUGUUGAAAAAGUUCUAUUAUAGUAUCGUGCAGGCUACUUCCAUCUGGCAGUUCGGGUAGGACUCUAAUGCGGAGGUUGUUCCUUCUCCCUCUGUUAUCUAUGUUGUCUAAUCUGCGUUGCAGGGUAUUUAUAGUUUUAACAUGGUAGACAUUUGCUUGUGUCAGUGCUUCUAUUACAUUAUCUGUUGAGUCGCCUCUGCUUUCAAUAUCUGUGACUCGAGUAAUUAAGCGAUUUCUGCCUUAAUGCCCACAACUUCUUCCUUUA
Molecule: long non-coding RNA, 1147 nt
Organism: Xenopus tropicalis (tropical clawed frog)
Lineage: Eukaryota; Metazoa; Chordata; Amphibia; Anura; Pipidae
Exons: 4
Source: RefSeq, a predicted model, not a curated record